Molecule: long non-coding RNA, 1398 nt
Organism: Pollicipes pollicipes
Lineage: Eukaryota; Metazoa; Arthropoda; Thecostraca; Pollicipedomorpha; Pollicipedidae
Exons: 3
Source: RefSeq, a predicted model, not a curated record
GCCAGCCGCGCCUCGAAGGCCAGCACGUCCGUCGGCCAUGGCACACAACGGCGGUGGCAGGUCGGUCUUGCUGGUCCUGGCCUUAGGUCUGCUGGCGUCAACCCACUGCUGGCCUCUGAAAACGUUUGAGCUCGAGCUCGAGCCUCCGACAGAAUGUCCAGAAGGCUGGCUCCGCUUCGGCCCUCACUGCCUUCUCCUGGCUGAGGACCGCUUGGGAUGGGAGGCUGCUCGGACUCACUGCGACAAGCUGCAGCCGGGCUCGCAUCUGGCAUCCAUCCCAGACCCAUUCCAGAUGGCAGGCAUGCUGACCAAGGUGCGGCGAGCCGGCGAGGAUUCUGUCUGGAUCGGGCUGUCGGCUCAGCCCUCCGAAAACGGUCAGCUGAUCUGGGGCUGGUCUGACGGCAGUCCACUCACCUUCGAGCAUUGGGAGGAAGACUCAGCAACCGUUGGGGGCCCGGGAGCGACCAACGGGGUCAGGGUAGCGACCGCUGGCACCAGCGGACGCCAGUGCGCUCUUCUCGCCACACGUCAGAGGAGGUGGCGCCCGGCAUCCUGCGCAAUAGAGCGACGCUUCUUCUGCAGCCUUAGGCUGGAGGACCAAGAAUGAAGGCUAGCUGUCCCACGCAAAGCUGACGGGGUAUUCGCUCCUGAUAUUGUCUGUUACCAGUGACACCACUCUGCCGGCCGUGUCACCAGUGACACCGCUCCGCCGGUCCGUAUCACUAGCGGCACCGCUCCACCGGUCUGUGUCACUAGUGACACCGCUUCGCCGGCCCGUAUCAGCAGUGACACCGACCCGCCAGCUUGUGUCACCAAUGACACCGAUCCGCCGCCUCGUGUCACCAGUGGCACCGCUCCGCCGGUCCGUGUCACCAGUGACACCGCUCCACCAGCUCGUGCCACCAGUAACACCGCUUCCCCGGUCCGUAUCACCAGUGAUACCGCUCCACCAGCUCGUGUCACCAGCGACACCGCUUCCUCGGUCCGUAUCACCAGGGAUACCGCUCCACCAUCUCGUGUCACCAGCGAGUCUCCUUCACCGAGCGCUUCGUCUCCUGAUCGCCGCAUCACCAGCGCGGAGUCACCAGUAGCACCACUCGGUGAAAGCAGUGUGACACCGCUCCGGUCCGGUGGUGUCACCAGGGACAUGGGACCGAACGCUCGCAGCCAGGGGUGCACCACUGCAGAUCGACCGGACCACCGCGCUCUCGACCCUUACAUUCUAUCAUUCUGUCGUGGCCUUUUACUUAAGCAUUAGCGCCCAAAAUCAACCGAUAAAAUUUCAGUCAAUCCGAUCCAUAUUUUUAGAAUUACAUCCCUUGGGAUAUUUGGUAGUCACGGUAUGUCGUUGCUUACGACGCCGUUUCACUGUACCAGCAGAAGGAGCGAAAUGCACUU